This 306-nucleotide ribosomal RNA is filed under the name Salmonella enterica subsp. enterica serovar Typhimurium. RNAcentral's name for it is "partial 16S ribosomal RNA". It matches the Rfam family "Bacterial small subunit ribosomal RNA", at positions 1 to 303 of the family's 1533-position model. The record is from RNAcentral. Lineage: Bacteria; Pseudomonadati; Pseudomonadota; Gammaproteobacteria; Enterobacterales; Enterobacteriaceae.
UAAGUGAAGAGUUUGAUCCUGGCUCAGAGUGAACGCUGGCGGUAGGCCUAACACAUGCAAGUCGAACGGCAGCACAGGAGAGCUUGCUCUCUGGGUGGCGAGUGGCGGACGGGUGAGGAAUACAUCGGAAUCUACUCUGUCGUGGGGGAUAACGUAGGGAAACUUACGCUAAUACCGCAUACGACCUACGGGUGAAAGCAGGGGACCUUCGGGCCUUGCGCGAUUGAAUGAGCCGAUGUCGGAUUAGCUAGUUGGCGGGGUAAAGGCCCACCAAGGCGACGAUCCGUAGCUGGUCUGAGAGGAUGA